GUCCUCCGCAUUGGGACAUCCAUCUCGAUCGGGACCGGGACAUCCACGCUGUUUUGGCUGGAUUGCUGGGCUGGGGACCUCCCCUUCACGGCGAGGUUUCCUGCCCUCUUCUCCAUCGCCGUUGAGUCUAGGAUUUCCGUCAAGGCGGCCCUUAUUGACUUAGGGCAUCUCGUUUUCCGACGGCCUUUUGGGCCCCCGGAAGUUGCCGCUUGGCAUGAUCUCCUUGAUGCCAUGGCUCUUCAUGAGCCUGACCUGUCUCAGCCCCAUGACCGGUUGUCUUGGCGCCUCGAGCCUUCAUGCCGCUUCUCUAUGAAGUCGCUGUAUCGAGCCAUUGCCUCCUCUCCUAGCCCGACCGUCUUCGAGUAUAUUUGGACCAUUCAUUUGCCGCUCAAGAUCAGAAUUUUCAUGUGGCAAUUGAUUCGUGGCCGGCUCCCCUCUGGCGUGGAGGUGAUUAAACACCAUGGUCCGGGUGACGGUAUCUGCCCCUUAUGUGGGACAGAAGAAACCUCGAAUCACAUCUUCUUCUCGUGCAUGUUGCUACGUCUUGAGCUUGCGUUGGUUUUCCUCGAAGAGGAGAGGGUGAUGCAGCAAAGUGUGGCGUAA
Molecule: ribosomal RNA, 603 nt
Filed under: Triticum aestivum (bread wheat)
Lineage: Eukaryota; Viridiplantae; Streptophyta; Magnoliopsida; Poales; Poaceae
Description: partial small subunit ribosomal RNA
Source: RNAcentral